RNAcentral lists this ribosomal RNA (443 nucleotides) under uncultured bacterium. RNAcentral's name for it is "partial 16S ribosomal RNA". It matches the Rfam family "Bacterial small subunit ribosomal RNA", at positions 338 to 795 of the family's 1533-position model. The record is from RNAcentral.
CCUACGGGAGGCUGCAGUGGGGGAUAUUGGACAAUGGGGGAAACCCUGAUCCAGCGACGCCGCGUGAGUGAAGAAGUAUCUCGGUAUGUAAAGCUCUGUCAGCAGGGAAGAAAGAAAUGACGGUACCUGACCAAGAAGCCCCGGCUAACUACGUGCCAGCAGCCGCGGUAAUACGUAGGGGGCAAGCGGUAUCCGGAAUUACUGGGUGUAAAGGGAGCGUAGACGGUGAUGCAAGUCUGGAGGGAAAGGCGGGGGCCCAACCCCCGGACUGGUCUGGAAACUGUGUAACUUGAGUGCAGGAGAGGUAGGCGGAAUUCGUAGUGUAGCGGUGAAAUGCGUAGAUAUUAGGAAGAACACCAGUGGCGAAGGCGGCUUACUGGACUGUAACUGACGUUGAGGCUCGAAAGCGUGGGGAGCGAACAGGAUUAGAUACCCGAGUAGUC